GAGCGCCGUAGCAAUACGGAGCGGCAGACGGGAGAGUAACACGUGGGAACGUGCCCUUCAGUUCGGAACAACCCAGGGAAACUUGGGCUAAUACCAGAUACGUCCGUAAGGAGAAAGAUUUAUCGCUGAAGGAUCGGCCCGCGUCUGAUUAGCUAGUUGGUGAGGUAACGGCUCACCAAGGCGACGAUCAGUAGCUGGUCUGAGAGGACGGCCAGCCACACUGGCACUGAAAUACGGGCCAGACUCCUACGGGAGGCAGCAGUGGGGAAUUUUGGGCAAUGGGCGCAAGCCUGACCCAGCAACGCCGCGUGAGGGAGGAAAUCCUUCGGGAUGUAAACCUC
This 341-nucleotide ribosomal RNA is filed under the name uncultured bacterium. RNAcentral's name for it is "bacterial SSU rRNA". It matches the Rfam family "Bacterial small subunit ribosomal RNA", at positions 64 to 433 of the family's 1533-position model. The record is from RNAcentral.